GUGCUGACUUUAGCAGCAGAUAUACUAAAAUUGGAACAAAACAGUGAAAAUUAGCAUGACCACUGUGCAAGGAUGACAUGCAAACUCAUGAAGCAUUCCAGAUAUUU
RNAcentral lists this small nuclear RNA (107 nucleotides) under Dasypus novemcinctus (nine-banded armadillo). The record is from RNAcentral. Lineage: Eukaryota; Metazoa; Chordata; Mammalia; Cingulata; Dasypodidae.